CACGGGGGGAGCAAGCGUUGUUCGGAAUCACUGGGCGUAAAGGGCGUGUAGGCGGUCAGGUAAGUGAGAUGUGAAAUGCCCCGGCUCACCCGGGGACCGGCAUCUCAUACUGCUUGGCUUGAGUACGGGAGAGGAUGUGGGAAUUCCACGUGUAGCAGUGAAAUGCGUAGAGAUGUGGAGGAACACCGAUGGCGAAGGCAGCCCCCUGGGCUAACACUGACGCUCAGGCACGAAAGCGUGGGGAGCAAACAGG
This 253-nucleotide ribosomal RNA is filed under the name uncultured bacterium. RNAcentral describes it as "partial 16S ribosomal RNA". It matches the Rfam family "Bacterial small subunit ribosomal RNA", at positions 524 to 776 of the family's 1533-position model. The record is from RNAcentral.